This 200-nucleotide unclassified non-coding RNA is filed under the name Ascomycota sp. RNAcentral describes it as "partial contains small subunit ribosomal RNA, internal transcribed spacer 1, and 5.8S ribosomal RNA". The stretch from base 1 to 47 matches the Rfam family "Eukaryotic small subunit ribosomal RNA", at positions 1785 to 1831 of the family's 1831-position model. The record is from RNAcentral. Lineage: Eukaryota; Fungi; Ascomycota.
AAAGUCGUAACAAGGUUUCCGUAGGUGAACCUGCGGAAGGAUCAUUACAGUGUUAGGCUUCGGCCUCAUUCACACCCCUUGUUGAACCUCUGGUUUCUUUGGCGAUGUCAUGGACUCGUCAAACAUCAACUCUGAUAAUGUGGUACUGUCCGAGUGAGAUUGAAUCAUCAAAACUUUCAACAACGGAUCUCUUGGUUCCA